GUAGAACGCUGAAGGAGGAGCUUGCUUCUCCGGAUGAGUUGCGAACGGGUGAGUAACGCGUAGGUAACCUGCCUGGUAGCGGGGGAUAACUAUUGGAAACGAUAGCUAAUACCGCAUAACAGUAGAUAUUGCAUGAUAUCUGCUUGAAAGGUGCAAUUGCAUCACUACCAGAUGGACCUGCGUUGUAUUAGCUAGUUGGUGGGGUAACGGCUCACCAAGGCAACGAUACAUAGCCGACCUGAGAGGGUGAUCGGCCACACUGGGACUGAGACACGGCCCAGACUCCCACGGGAGGCAGCAGUAGGGAAUCUUCGGCAACGGACGGAAGUCUGACCGAGCAACGCCGCGUGAGUGAAGAAGGUUUUCGGAUCGUAAAGCUCUGUUGUAAGAGAAGAACGAGUGUGAGAGUGGAAAGUUCACACUGUGACGGUAUCUUACCAGAAAGGGACGGCCAACUACGUGCCAGCAGCCGCGGUAAUACGUAGGUCCCGAGCGUUGUCCGGAUUUAUUGGGCGUAAAGCGAGCGCAGGCGGUUAGAUAAGUCUGAAGUUAAAGGCUGUGGCUUAACCAUAGUACGCUUUGGAAACUGUUUAACUUGAGUGCAAGAGGGGAGAGUGGAAUUCCAUGCGUAGCGGUGAAAUGCGUAGAUAUAUGGAGGAACACCGGUGGCGAAAGCGGCUCUCUGGCUUG
This 690-nucleotide ribosomal RNA is filed under the name uncultured Bacilli bacterium. RNAcentral's name for it is "bacterial SSU rRNA". It matches the Rfam family "Bacterial small subunit ribosomal RNA", at positions 61 to 736 of the family's 1533-position model. The record is from RNAcentral. Lineage: Bacteria; Bacillati; Bacillota; Bacilli.